AGUUCUCACUUUUCUGGGAGAGGCAAUGAAUCAGGAAAUCCAGAAUCUGACGGUGAGGCCUGGAGGCUCGGUCACUCUACAGACGGGACUCAGCGGGCUGAAUGGUGAGCAUAUCCUCUGGAUGUAUGGUUCUGACCAAACACUCCUCCUCUGUGAUGGGGGAGAAAUCACCACAGUUGCAGAGGAAUAUGCUGGACGUCUCCAGCUUAACCAGUCGUCUGGCUGCCUUACUAUUUCCAACAUCAGGAAGAGCGCCGUUUACAGAGGGGAGAUGUUAAAAGAAAACAAAAAGCUCAUGUUUGAUUAUAACGUGACUGUUGUGGAGGCUGGAGCUCCCUUUAACUCUGCUGCUGACCCCGGGAGCCUCUGGGGGCUCGUCGUAGCUGCCGCUGUCUGCUGUGUGCUGGUCGGCAGCUGAAGUGACCUCUGAUGUCUGCAAACCUCUGGGCCAAAGAUCACCUCAGCCUCCCUCACAUCUCACCAAAGUCCUGCUGAGGCCAGAUGAAGGAGCCAAUAAGGAGAAAUGUGUUUGUACUCCGCAGUUCAAAUCAUUCCCACGUUUGACUGACGGUGCUGAUAUGCUACUGACCAUGACACUAGCAAAUGAACGUAUGUGAUAUUAUUGGAUUUAUUUAAAAAAACAUUUCUCACUGAAUGCAGUGAGUUUGUGCAGAGUUGGUGAAAUGUUCUGAUCUGAGCUUUAAACUCAUCAGCUUUCAUAUGGAGUGUGCACACCUGUCUGAAGGUACACAGGUGGAGAAAUGUUGUCUUCUUCAAUCCAGUCACAAUGGUAGCAAUAAAUUUUAUGCAAUCUUUCAUAAA
Maylandia zebra (zebra mbuna) is the source of this 822-nucleotide non-coding RNA. Lineage: Eukaryota; Metazoa; Chordata; Actinopteri; Cichliformes; Cichlidae. The record is from RefSeq and is a predicted model, not a curated record.